GUCGUGCAGCCCUUCUUCUCUUGGCCUAAUGCUUUCGGUCGAGACUAGGUGCUGAUAACGUGUUAGAAUGAAUCCUCUUCCUCUUUCAUUAGAUGAAUAUGGAUAUAUACACAAGGAGAAGAGAUGCAAUGAAGAGGCAUCUAUUCGGGAGAGAUGGCAGUUACAAGGGGAGAUUACCCCAUAAUUAACACAUGUUAAUUAAACUCUAAC
Molecule: long non-coding RNA, 210 nt
Filed under: Hordeum vulgare
Lineage: Eukaryota; Viridiplantae; Streptophyta; Magnoliopsida; Poales; Poaceae
Description: long non-coding RNA (HVUL_LNC011452)
Source: RNAcentral